This 3946-nucleotide long non-coding RNA is filed under the name Paramuricea clavata. Lineage: Eukaryota; Metazoa; Cnidaria; Anthozoa; Malacalcyonacea; Plexauridae. The record is from RNAcentral.
CGAGCUUGUAUCCAGUCGAGUCAAAUGACUCCCGUUUCUUCCUGUUGAAGUCGAUAUAUGGUGGGGAUAAUAAGUAUAGGUGGUUGACGAAAUCUCAGCGCAUUGUACAGGUUGUUUAUGUGGUGCUGGCGGUGAUGGUGAUAGUAUAUUCGUUCUUGUCCUUGUUGACUGGCAAUUCUUUGUCGUUUUAGACGGGCUAUUGAUCGUCGUCUCUGUGGACGGGCUGCUUUUAACAAAACAACAUAACACGUACUUACGUCGAAAGCUUAUGUUAAACAAUACAAGAUUCUACUCACCUGGAUGACUAAACGUAGCUAGAUGAUUUGGGUUUUUCCUGUAACACCACGCCCUGGCAAGGUGGCCGUUUUUUAUCGUAAGGGGUAACGUUUUUCCUACAAACACAAUUAUUUACGAAAUAGAUAAUGAGCCCAAUAAUAUAUGAAAUCAUAUUGAAUUAAAUAUUGACUAUUUUAUAAACUUAAAAAAUCAUAAACUGAGUCCUAUAAUUUAUCUAUACAUUUUUUAUUCAAACAUGUUUCGCAUUGUCAAACCUGUUUCACCUGGUAUUAUUCUGUGUGUUCUGGUGCACAAAUUAUUAUAACUGUUUAUCUCGCUACUUUUGUGGUAGCCAAGACACCUGCAUGGUUGUUACAGUCCAGAAAAACAGAUUUUCUUAAAAUGUUGUUGUGAUAAAGAGCAAAUGUAAUGGUAUUAAAAAUGUAAACAGUACAAUUUACAUCUACAGUAAAAUAAUUUAUGAUUUAACUUCCCUGUGGAUGUUUCGUUUGACGUGUACGAGGAGUGCAUCCUUCCUGGAGAAGGACAGCCCCUAGAGGUGUUUUCAAACAUAUUUACAAUCAGUUAUCAUAAAAAGUAAAAUUAAUUAACUUCUUUAUCUUCAUAAAAAAGUAUUUACCACAGUAAAAAAUAAGAUACAUAUAAACAUAAUUCACAGUAGACAUUUAAUUAAUGGUUACUCUAAGUAAUAUUAAUGAUAUAUAUAAAAUGAUAGAACGAUAAAAUAGAAAUAGUUCCAUGAAAAGUAUUGGACAAGCGUCAUGUCUAUGGUUGCUCUCGGAUCACCAUGGUAAAAGGUGCCCCGUUGUGUCUAUUCAGAGCAAAUCACUCCUUGUGAAAAUCAAUGUACAGAUGCCACAGAACAUACUGCGUGUUUCCGUCGGUGUCUUACGUGCCUUUUUAAAUUGAUUUUUAAGGUGAAGCAUCUCUGUCCUUGUAAAGGCCAGUCGUGCACUAGCUGAUGGAACAGACAUAACGAGUCCCUCCGUGAACUGUCCUCUGGUGUCUUUUGAGAUUAAGGGUGAAUACGCCGGCGCACUGCCGACACUCGUGUCCAUAUUGUCUCUACUCCAUUGUUAAAAAUGUGCCCUAAAUAUAUAUAACACAAUGAAUUACUUGAAGCACUAGAAAUAAAACUACUUAACAUUGUAGUAAUAAUUAGUGUGGGGAAGGUCAGGUGGACUAAUUGACGUUUCUGUGAGUUUCCUUUUCUUGGUAAAGGUUUUCAUUGCACUUCCGAUUACUGCAAUUGUUACAUUUAAAUAUAUAAAACAUUGAUCAGAUAUACACCCAUCUCUCCUGCACUUCUUAUUUUACUUGAAAGUACACUUUUUACUUUUCCAGUUUAGCACAGUCCUGACAUUCCACUUCACAAGUUUCAGUCACAACAUGAGCGUUGAGAUCUGUUGAGAUCAUCGGGCACCAAGCCUGAAAAGGUCGGGGGGACUAAUUGUAGUAAAAUCAUGCCUCCCCCGAGGGGCAUUUCACUCCAAAAAUCCCGUACACUUCGUCAAAAAAUCCGAAAAAAAUCCGAACAAAUCCGGAAAAUCCAACAGAUUUUCUCUUCAAAAAUCCGCUAAAAAUCCGCUAAAUCCGCGGAUUUUUAAAAAUCCGAAAAUCCCGUGCGCUUCGUCAAACAAUCCGGACAAAAUCCGAACAAAUCCGGAAAAUCCAAACAAAUCGGGAAAAUCCAACAGAUUUUCUCUUCAAAAAUCCGCUAAAAAAUCCGGGAAAAAUCCGCUAAAAAAUCCGUGGAUUUUUAAAAAUCCGCAAAUCCCGUACGCUUUUUUGGAGUGAAAUGCCCCUCGGCCUCCCCAAUGUUUCUGACAUGAGGAAUUGUCUGGUUGCCGUAGGCGUUGAUAAGAGGGAAGGGAGACUACAGGGGAAAUUAUUUCGGAAAUCAAGAAUAUAGACUUAUUGCACCCACUUACCUGCGUAAUAUAUUUGCAUAUAGAACUGGAGUUCAUAAUUCCACAUUUCGGAAAAUGUAGUUUUCAAGUUGUUUGUCCGACACAAGGGUUUUUUAAAGCUUUGGUGAAAGGAUGGAAUGACAGUUAAAACUUAAAAUGUUUCGACUCUUGUUUAUGUUUGACCUCCAACUCCUGUGUAUUCUUCUGCAUUUCCAUUAACUUCAGACUGGUUCACAUUUUACUGGAAGUUGAUGUGGGACGGCUAUGUACAGUUCCUGUGUCCCACGAAAAAUGAGUUAGUUAUGAUAGAAUGUGAUUUCUAUAAUAAUUGUUUAAUUUACAUCAUUUACCUUAUUUUGUAUUGUGUUAAAAUAUUUGAAACGGCCAAAAAUGAAAAGGCUAACCUAGUGUCAUCGUUUCGGAAUCCCGGUGUUGGUUGUCAAAACUGGAUUAGUGGCUAACCCUUGGUUAAAUUUUAAUCUUGUCUUUUAUUUUUGUAUUUCUGAAUGUCAGUUUAUUUCAAAACUUCAGAGUAACUCUUGAUAACAGACAGUAUUUUUGAAGAAAUAUUUCCAUAUCUAUAAAAACGCUGUUAGGGAGUUCAUUGGAAUUUUAGGUUAAACUAUAGGGUUACGAUCAGUGCUAACCUUGUGUCAAAUUGACCAGCUGUUUUAAUAGUUUGCAUUUCUGCAUGAAACCUUCAGAAAAGAUAAUUUCCAUUUCAUUAAAAAUAUUUCCAAGUUGAUAAACAGGAUGGCGGGAGGUUUUCUUUGAAGUUUAGGUCAACUUUGGCCUAGGGUUAAGCUAACGAGCAUUUGAACAACCAACCCCAAAAUAGUUUCAAUAGCGUCCAGUUCAUAGUUACUUUCUGUAAUGAAAAAAAUAGUAUAAAGGAUAAUGAAAAGUGGAUGUAAAAAUAGUGAGAAAAAUAACUGGAAUAAGUAAAAUAUAAAUGGUAGGAAAAAAAUGCUAGAAACCUAAUUAAAAAAUUGUAGGGAAAAAACACAACUGAAAGAAGUAAAAAAAUAGUAGAAAAUUAGAUUGAAAAAAUAAUGAAAAAUAAAUGUAAAAAUAGUGAAAAAUAAAUGUAAAAAUAGUGAAGAAAAAAUAAUAGAAAAUUACAUUGAAAAAAUAAUGAAAAAUAAAUGUAAAAAUAGUGAAGAAAAAAUAAUGAAAAAUAAAUGUAAAAAUAGUGAAAAAUAAAUGUAAAAAUAGUGAAGAAAAAAUAAUGAAAAAUAAAUGUAAAAAUAGUGAAAAAUAAAUGUAAAAAUAUGAAGAAAAAUAAAUGUAAAAAUAGUGAAGAAAAAAUAAUAGAAAAUUACAUUGAAAAAAUAAUGAAAAGUAAAUGUAAAAAUAGUGAAGAAAAAAUAAUAGAAAAUUACAUCGAAAAAUAAUGAAAAAUAGUCUUACAUAAUGAAAAAGUUGUGAAAAGAAAAACAACUGAAAGAAGUAAAACUGAAUAGAAGAAAAUUACAUCGAAAAAAUAUAAUAGUGAAAAAGUUGGAGAAACGUAGUAGAGAUAUUUGUAAAAGGAAUAAAAAUGAACCUUAUUUUUCAAAAUACGAGUGAUUUUUUUAUAAAAUAAUUGUGUUUCUUAAUUUCAAAACAUACAGCUAUUUCAAACGAGCCGAAGUCGAAUGCAACCGCGAAAGGCUGCUGGAAAUUAUUGAAUUUUCAUAUCCAUUCCCAGCAGCCUUUCGCGCUCGUAUUCGACUUCUCCGCCUUGCUCGAGAACGCAU